RNAcentral lists this small RNA (20 nucleotides) under Arabidopsis thaliana (thale cress). RNAcentral describes it as "Ath_wt_14410". Lineage: Eukaryota; Viridiplantae; Streptophyta; Magnoliopsida; Brassicales; Brassicaceae. The record is from RNAcentral.
GAUUCAGCCCUUUGUCGCUA